CCCCGGUACCGGCUCCGCCCCCGGCACCGCCCCGCCCUGGUACCGGCACUGGCACCGCCCCGGUCCGGUACCGGCACCAUCCCGGUCCGGUACCGGCACCGCCUCCGCCCUGGCACCGCCCCGGUCCGGUACCGGCACCAUCCCGGUCCGGCACUGGCACCGCCUCCGCCCUGGCACCGCCCCGGUCCGGUACUGGCACCGCCCCGGCUCUGCCGCCCCCGCUCCCGGGCAUUUCUUUCCCUUUUUUUUUAGCUCCUUCCCCCGCUUUUUGCUUCCUGGUUUGUUUAUUUGUUUAUUUGUUUGUUUCCCUUUUCCACCUUUUUUUUUCCCAUUUUUCCCCCUUUCCUCUUUUCUCUCCUUUUUUCCCCCUUUAUUCCUUUUUCUAUUUUCCCCUUUUUUCCUUUCACCCUUUUUCCUAUUUCUUUAGUUUGGUCCCUUUCCCCCUUUCUCCUCCCUUUUCCCCUCUUUUUUCCCUUUUUCUUUUCCUCUUUCUCCCUUUUUUUCCUCUUUUGCCCUAUCUUUUUAGUCCUUUUUCCAGUAUUCUCCCUCUUUUGCUUUCUUCUUCCUUCCCCUCACCUUUUUCCUUCCUCUCCCUUUUCCCUUUCCUUUCCCUUCCCUCCCCUUUUAUUCCUUUUUUUUUCUUUAAUUUGCCACUAUACCCAGUGCCCCCCAGCACACCACCCUGCAGCUGGAUUGCCUCCCUGCCUUAGUGCUUAUAGCACUUCUGUAGGAAAAAAAAAGAAAAAAGGCAUUUCCAUCCUCUGCAAACAGCAUUCUAGCAAAUUCCUUGAACAAUUUAUGAGCACUACAUUAAACUGUACCACAGCCCGUGCUGGCCAGAGCUCCGAGCACAGCACUGGGCUGACCCAUCAGGCUCAGCUUUCCUGAUGCUGAGGCUCAAACGAUGCCAGCUCAUUCUCUCUGGAGCCUGAGCUGCCCAGGAAGGCAGCAUGGAGAAGUAGGUGUUCCUGUUUUUCCAAAACAACCUUUUAAUUAUGCUCUUUACUAUAAUAGCAGCCUUUUUCCAACACUUCAGCAGUCAGGGCUAUUAAUUAAGGAGCCAUGGUCUAACAGUGGUAAUAUUAAACCCAGCAUCUUUUGGUAGGCCCUUCUUACACUGAUACAGAAUUUUUCAGGGAAAACCAACCCAGUCAGCCAGUGCUCCUUGUUGGUGACACAGCAGGCUCUCACUACCAAACAGUUUGGAGAGAUGAUUUUCUGCCUGGUCAUAAAGCACUUCUUGUGUGACAGGGAGAGCUCAUGUGCAGUUACUCAUGAAAAAAUCAGUCUGAUAGGCAAGGCUACAAGCCAAGAAGGAGCCUUGCCACAUUCCUGCUGUGUUCUUAUCGCAGGAAUGCUGCUUGACCCAAACUGCCCCUGCCCAGGGAGAGAGGGACCCCUCCAAGUGCUGAGGGUCCCUGUUUUGCCCCACCUCUGUGCAGGGGAUGCUCUGCUGUAGCUGGGACUCAUCCCCCUGAGUGUCACACAGCUGCUUCUGACACAGGAUUUGGGGAGAAUGAAGGCACCCUGGAGAAGAUGCAGCUGUCCCCCCCAAGGUUUCACAGUCAAUCCAUUUCUUGCUCUCUGGACGGAAGGCAAAUUCAUUCAGGCAGGAUCUGGAUGAGGCCUCUGCAGCCCAGCCCCCUGCUCGAGCCCCAGCUGGGCUGGGCUGGCCCCAGUGCAGGCAGGACCCCUGCACAGCCAGAGCUGCACUGCUGCAGGACCCCUGCACAGCCAGAGCUGCACUGCUGUGGGAACCCUGCACAGCCAGAGCUGCACUGCUGCAGGACCCCUGCACAGCCAGAGCUGCACUGCUGCAGGACCCCUGCACAGCCAGAGCUGCACUGCUGCAAGGACCCCUGCACAGCCAGAGCUGCACUGCUGCAGACACCUGGAACCCUGCACAGCCAGAGCUGCACUGCUGCAGGACCCCUGCACAGCCAGAGCUGCACUGCUGCAGACACCUGGAACCCUGCACAGCCAGAGCUGCACUGCUGCAGGACCCCUGCACAGCCAGAGCUGCACUGCUGCAGGAACCCUGCACAGCCAGAGCUGCACUGCUGCAGGAACCCUGCACAGCCAGAGCUGCACUGCUGCGGGAACCCUGCACACACAGAGCUGCUCUGCUGCAGACACCUGGAACCCUGCGCAGCCAGAGCUGCACUGCUGCAGACACCUGGAACCCUGCGCAGCCAGAGCUGCACUGCUGCAGGACCCCUGCACAGCCAGAGCUGCUGCAGCAGUGCAGCUCAGCUGACACAGGCAGCCUCGGGCAGCUCGCAGCUGGAAAAGCUGGGCUAGCUCAGACUGGAGGGCAACUGCUCUUGGCUUUUCCUUGUGGGACAAUUGCUCGUGGCUUCUCCUAAUGGCCACUGAGAUUCGUGGUUUGGAACCCUGGCUGCUCACUUUGGGGCAUUUCUCUACCAAGGCCCAGCUCUCAGGCUGCAUCCUCCAGCUGCCCACAUUUUACACUGCCAGCAGCUCCUGGGCUCCUCCAGGGCCAGGUGUUACCCUCUGCCUGCCCAGGAGCUGAUAAACUGAGAGAGAAGCAGCAAGGAGACAGAUGGAAAAGGAACACUGACAGCCAGACACGUGGCUGUUUCUUUUUCAGGGAUCUCCCGUCCAGGCCCCAGAGCAAUGUUCAGCACUCUGAGGGAGGCAUUUCCAAACUGGUGCGUGAGGGGCACAAGAGCCCUUUAAAGCUGUGGAAAAUCUUGACAGCACCUGUUUGCAGAGAUUUAUUUCAUGUGGGUGCAAUGCCUCAUCCUUAAUCUAAUCUUAGGGAGAAGGUGUAGGAAGAAUUCCAACUAAUUUCAUUAAUUCCAGAUCAGGGGCUGAAAAAACCCACUCAAACAAAAUUCUAAAGCUCUUAAAUUUGAAAAAAAAAAAACCAGUUUUUUUCCUCUCUUUCCCACAUUAAGGCUAGAAGGUUGGGUUGAGACUGGAGCCAUUAUUUGGAUUUGAAAGAUCACCCUUCAAAGAUACCUGUUCAGUCAGGCGCUGAGAACUGGAAAAACAGAGCUGGCUAAACACAGGUUAGAGUCAAAGUGAUGUCCAAGGGAAUUGCUCACCUCUGGAGUAAGCACAGCCACAGCAAACUACUUGUGCAGAAGAGUAAUUAACCUCGGGUUGUUUUUAUGAGCAGGGGUUUUAGGAGGACUUCUUGUGCAGACAGCAUUGCCCACUCCAGGGGUACUGCCCAGGGAGGGUCUUCCCAAGCUGCUCCAGGCAGCAGACCCUCCACAGCCUGGCAGAAAUCGUGGCCCCACGGAAGCCAGCCACAGCUGCACAGAUUUAAUCAGGAGGAGGAUUCCAUGUCUCCUACUUGGAUGUGAAAAAACAAAGGGCUCCACUCUGUUCUCCCACUCUCACUUUCCUGCGUCAGUCAGACCUGCCUUAGUUGUUGCUACAGCUCCUGCUUUUGGAAAGGAACACUCACAGGUGCACACACACCCCCCUUCUCCAGGCCACUGUGUAUUUUCCAGCUUAGCAGGUGACCCAGAUGGGUGAAAGUGCCAAGCAAAGCCCAAAGGCAGCAGUGAGAGCGCUGUGGCUGCAUGUCCUGCACCAGCUGCAGGGGACAGCGAGGACAGGGACACCGUGACCCCUCCAGGUGCCAAGAGCCCUCACACGCCAACAGCCUGACCUUCAAACCACUGCUGUCCUUGUUAAAAACCACCUUCCAACACCACACUGCUUCUCCUUCCUGACCAGGCUGGUUGAAAUGCUGCUUUGGGGCUUUCUGAAGCACUCGGUGACCUGCGGCCAGCUCCCAUCGCCUCCACGCACAGCUCCCGUCCUGCCAGCCCUGAGUGAGAUCCUCUGCAGCCCUUCAGCCAUUCUCACUACCACUCCUGGUGCUAUUAAGAUUCUCAAUGCGUGUAUCUGGUUUCCAAUAGUACGAGCUGCCGGGAAAGGCAGCCACGACACAGAACCAAGAACCAAAACAGAGCAGUAAGGAAAACACUUCGUGACUGAAAAUCAGGCACAUGGACCUCCAUCAGUUCCAAAAUGUCAGCUGAAGCCCUGGGUUCAGCUAUUCUAGAAAGUUAAAUCAAUUUAUUCACUUAAUUCACAGGACGCACUUUCAGAAUUAAACAUUCAUUUUGAGGGAAACGAGGUGAGAGCACACAGGCCAGCUAUGUGCAGCAGCUGAUACCCACAAUUGCUAAUACACUGCUGGAAAAUAAAAACGGAUGAGAAGCAAGCAGUGCUUCCUUAGGCAAAUGCUGCUCCACAUCAGACAACCAAGCAAGACCUUGCUGGCACCCACCCCACUGUGAAAAUGCAGAUUGUGCCCCUAGUACUGCCCUGGAAAAGCCCACACAAUCAACUACCCCCGAGGAGUGUCCACGGAGAUGAGAGACAACAAAUAUAUAUUAAUCAGAACAACAUACCAAAGUUUAUUGAUUACUUCAAACAAAAGUUUCUGUAAUGAAAAAAGAGCAAGUUGCAUUCAUAAAAGGUAACAUUCACAUUCAAUUUCCUUGAUAUAAAGCAACAUAAAUGUAUAAAAUUGCAUUUAAGUGAAAAAAAUGUAAGAUUGCAGUCCUUUUUCUUUGCAAGAAGCUGAAAAUGUAUCUGCUCAUUGCCUGUAUAUAAUUUACAUUUUCUAUACACUACAUGUUUUUUUAAAAAAAUUUGUAGCUGGGAAAUUGGAUAAAUGGUGCAGUAUUAGGAAAGUUUUUCAACGGUGUGUGUACAAAUUCAAUUUGAAGCUUUGAUGCAAUUCCAAGUCAUUUAUAAUAUUCUCAUAACAAUCAGGAUUAGUUUUUGAAAAGUCGCUAUGACUACACCAAGCUCCACUGUUAUCACGUAAGAGUUUGAGAGGGAAUCUUAAUUACUUUCCUUAUCUUUCAGCAUCACUAGUCAGUGAUAAAACUUCAACAAAUGAUUAUGAGAAAACCCCAGCCUUUUUUCCUUCAAGUUUCUCCACCGAAAAGCCUGUACUGACCUUUACUGUACCUGACAGGCAGCACGAGUGCCUCAGGAACGAGCACCCAGCACAGCAUCCCUGUCCCACUGCUGCCCCACACCUCACUGCCCAGACCAGCCCUCUCCUGCCCCUCUCUGACCUCAGGAGGGGCCCCUGGUUCCCCCGAGUCACCCACAGCAAUCAGGAUCUCGGUUUUGCCAUUGCUGAGUGACCAGGAUCAGCUCUCCUGCUGGACCAGGGCAGCCUGGCUCUCCUUGGCACCCAGCCCUACACCAGGGCACCAUCUGAAGAUCCAAGCCCAAGAAAAAACUGCAUUUCCCCCAAAA
Long non-coding RNA from Haemorhous mexicanus (house finch), 5262 nucleotides. RefSeq lists it as uncharacterized. NCBI's taxonomy places the organism in Eukaryota, Metazoa, Chordata, Aves, Passeriformes, Fringillidae. The transcript is spliced from 2 exons. The record is from RefSeq and is a predicted model, not a curated record.